ACUUUAAUUGAAGAGUUUGAUCAUGGCUCAGAUUGAACGCUGGCGGCAGGCCUAACACAUGCAAGUCGAGCGGUAACAGAAAGA
Molecule: ribosomal RNA, 84 nt
Filed under: Photobacterium kishitanii
Lineage: Bacteria; Pseudomonadati; Pseudomonadota; Gammaproteobacteria; Vibrionales; Vibrionaceae
Description: partial 16S ribosomal RNA
Rfam family: Bacterial small subunit ribosomal RNA
Source: RNAcentral